CGUGCCAAGAAAAGCGAUGAUCAUGUUGAAAAUCAAUUCCCGGUACCCGAAACCGACACAGGUGGGCAAGUAGAGAAUACUAAGGGGCGCGAGGUAACUCUCUCCAAGGAACUCGGCAAAAUGACCCCGUAACUUAGGGAGAAGGGGUGCCACCGAGAGGUGGUCGCAGUGAAGAGGCCCAGGCGACUGUUUAGCAAAAACAUAGGUCUCUGCAAACUCGAAAGAGGAGGUAUAGGGGCUGACGCCUGCCCAGUGCCGGAAGGUUAAAGAAGUUGGUCAGUUUUAGGAUGAAGCUAGCGACUGAAGCCCCGGUGAACGGCGGCCGUAACUAUAACGGUCCUAAGGUAGCGAAAUUCCUUGUCGGGUAAGUUCCGACCCGCACGAAAGGCGUAACGAUCUGGGCGCUGUCUCGGAGAGAGGCUCGGCGAAAUAGGAUUGUCUGUGAAGAUACGGACUACCUGCAUUUGGACAGAAAGACCCUAUGAAGCUUUACUAUAGCUUGGAAUUGUGUUCGGGCUUCCUGUGCGCAGGAUAGGUGGGAGGCGUAGAAGGUAUUCUUGUGGGGAUACUGGAGCCAACGGUGAGAUACCACUCUCAGGAGGCUAGAAUUCUAACUUAAUUAAGGACAGUUUCAGGUGGGUAGUUUGACUGGGGCGGUCGCCUCCAAAAAGGUAACGGAGGCGUACAAAGGUUCCCUCAGACUGGUUGGAAAUCAGUCGAAGAGUGCAAAGGCAGAAGGGAGCUUGACUGCGAGAAGUACAGUUCGAGCAGGGUGGAAACACGGUCUUAGUGAUCCGACGGUGCUGUGUGGAAGGGCCGUCGCUCAACUGAUAAAAGUUACUCUAGGAUAACAGGCUGAUCUCCCCCAAGAGUUCACAUCGACGGGGAGGUUUGGCACCUCGAUGUCGGCUCAUCGCAACCUGGGGCGGAAGUACGUCCCAAGGGUUGGGCUGUUCGCCCAUUAAAGCGGUACGUGAGCUGGGUUCAGAACGUCGUGAGACAGUUCGGUCCAUAUCCGAUGUAGGCGUGAGAAUAUUGAGAGGAGCCUUCCUUAGUACGAGAGGACCGGGAAGGACGCACCGCUGGUGUACCUGUUAUGAUGCCAAUUGUAAACGCAGGGUAGCCAAGUGCGGAGAGGAUAACCGCUGAAAGCAUCUAAGUGGGAAGCCCACCUCAAGAUGAGUAUUCUGGUGUAAGGUCACGGGAAGACGACCCGUAAAUAGGCACGAGGUGGAAGUGCAGAGAUGUAUGAAGCCGAAGUGUACUAAUAGACCGUCGGCUUGACC
RNAcentral lists this ribosomal RNA (1286 nucleotides) under metagenome. RNAcentral describes it as "bacterial LSU rRNA". It matches the Rfam family "Bacterial large subunit ribosomal RNA", at positions 1604 to 2925 of the family's 2925-position model. The record is from RNAcentral.